This 920-nucleotide ribosomal RNA is filed under the name Paramysis bacescoi. RNAcentral describes it as "SSU rRNA". It matches the Rfam family "Eukaryotic small subunit ribosomal RNA", at positions 21 to 936 of the family's 1831-position model. The record is from RNAcentral. Lineage: Eukaryota; Metazoa; Arthropoda; Malacostraca; Mysida; Mysidae.
AGUCAUAUGCUUGUCUCAAAGAUUAAGCCAUGCAUGUCUAAGUACAGACCGAUAUACAAGGUGAAACCGCGAAUGGCUCAUUAAAUCAGUUAUGGUUCAUUGGAUCUUACACGAGUUACUUGGAUAACCGUGGUAAUUCUAGAGCUAAUACAUGCAACUAAGCUCCGACCGCAAGGGAAGAGCGCAGUUAUUAGAUCAAAACCAAUCAGGUUCCUAGUCACCUGAUGAAGUUGUGAUGACUCUGAAUAACAUUGAGCUGAGCGCAUGGUCUCUGGACCGGCGCCGCAUCUUUCAAGUGUCUGCCUUAUCAGCUUGAUUGUAGGUUAUGUGCCUACAAUGGCUAUAACGGGUAACGGGGAAUCAGGGUUCGAUUCCGGAGAGGGAGCCUGAGAAACGGCUACCACAUCUAAGGAAGGCAGCAGGCACGCAAAUUACCCACUCCCAGUUCGGGGAGGUAGUGACGAAAUAUAACGAUGCGUGUCUCUAAUUGAGGCUUCGCAAUCGGAAUGAGUACACUCUAAAUCCUUGUACGAGGAUCAAUUGGAGGGCAAGUCUGGUGCCAGCAGCCGCGGUAAUUCCAGCUCCAAUAGCAUAUAUUAAAGUUGUUGUGGUUAAAAAGCUCGUAGUUGGAUGUCUAAUAUUGACUGAUGGUGCGCCUCUGGCGAUUACUGUCGGUUGAAAUAACUAGUCAGCUUGCAUGCGAUGCUCUUUAUUGAGUGUCGUGCGUGGCUGGCAUGAUUACUUUGAAAAAAUUAGAGUGCUCAAAGCAGGUUAAUGCCUGAAUAUGAUGCAUGGAAUAAUGGAAUAUGACCUCGGUUCUAUUUCGUUGGUUUACUGAACCUGAGUUAAUGAUUAAAAGAGACGGACGGGGGCAUUCGUAUUGCGACGCUAGAGGUGAAAUUCUAUGACCGUCGCACGAC